This 253-nucleotide ribosomal RNA is filed under the name uncultured bacterium. Its description in RNAcentral is "partial 16S ribosomal RNA". It matches the Rfam family "Bacterial small subunit ribosomal RNA", at positions 524 to 776 of the family's 1533-position model. The record is from RNAcentral.
UACGUAGGGUGCGAGCGUUGUCCGGAAUUACUGGGCGUAAAGAGCUCGUAGGUGGUUUGUCGCGUUGUUCGUGAAAACUCACAGCUCAACUGUGGGCGUGCGGGCGAUACGGGCAGACUGGAGUACUGCAGGGGAGACUGGAAUUCCUGGUGUAGCGGUGGAAUGCGCAGAUAUCAGGAGGAACACCGGUGGCGAAGGCGGGAUCCUGGGCCAGUACUGACGCUGAGGAGCGAAAGCGUGGGGAGCAAACAGG